Pomacea canaliculata is the source of this 2314-nucleotide long non-coding RNA. RefSeq lists it as uncharacterized. Lineage: Eukaryota; Metazoa; Mollusca; Gastropoda; Architaenioglossa; Ampullariidae. The transcript has 10 exons. The record is from RefSeq and is a predicted model, not a curated record.
CUUGGCGAUUAGAGAUCGUCUUAUUAUUAUUAAUCACUUCCUUAUUUUUGAUUUUUUUUCCUUUCAAACAGUAUACUCAGCAAACUCUUUCAUCCAAACAGGAUACACAUCAAAUCCAGUCUCUCAAACAGUAUAUACAUCCAAUUCCAUCGUUCAAACAGCGAACUCAGAAAAAUUAAUCUUUCAAACAGUAAACGCAGCAAAUAAAAUAUUUCAAACAGAAUAAAUAAUAACUUGGAUGUUUCAAACAGUCUAUAUAGAAAAUCAUCCUUCAAACUGUACACACAGCAAUCUUUCAAAAAAAAAAAACCACUGCACAAUUAAGAAAGAUAGGUAUCAGUGUUAGAAAGUCUCCGGCUGUGAACAAUUCACACCUUCACGAGACGUUUUCUGAUGUCGAGGACUUACUCGAGGGAGCAGGGGUUGGUCUGCUUCAGUCGCAUCGAUAUAAGUAGACCUUUCGCCUACUUCGUCUGGGGUCAAGUAUGUUCCGGCCUGUGUACAAGAGGCCAUCAUUUCUUAGGGCCAGUAGACCGUGAGCCCGAGUACAAUUUUUUUUAAAGUCCUUACUCCCCCUCUCCUCCACACCCGCACCCCCAUCACCGGCCGGCCACAAGUGCCCCACGCCCAAAGCCUCUUACUGUGGGGUCAGCGCACUUAGCAGCCAGAAACACAGUAGAAAUACACGGAGUUGAUGAAGGGGGAAUUUUCUCAUUACCUCCUCGAUGACGGAAGACUGAUGUGCUGCCCUGGGCUGUCUGCCUGGAUGUUGGCCGGAUUACUGGCUGGCCUGCUGGGUGCUCGUCACGAGGACAACUUCUCCCCGUGGUGUACAAAUCUUUAGCUGAUGUUACCUUUUCCUUCUCCUAAUGUCGAGCUGAACAGAUCAUCGUUAGUUCGAUUCCAAUGAUUCCGCUGUAAAGUUUUUAUAGUGUAAACAACAACAACAACAACAACAACAACAACAGAAAGAAAGGAAGAAGGAAAGACGAAAACAAAAACUCUGUGUAAAGAAAAUGGAGAUACGUGUCUGCCGCUUAUCCUGUGUCCUGAUAUUUAUCGUAGGCAUCACGGAUUUCUUCUUUGAAUCGCCGAAAGGAGCGGUGAGUGCAGCCAACGUGCAGGAGAAGCAGGUGAAGGUGUGCAACACCCAUGUGGCACACAGCACCUGUCGUGUCCCUCCGACCACAGCAUCGCCAUCAGGGAGGCAGCCUUCAGCGUGCGCCAGCAGCCCUCGUCCUGCAGACAGUCCCAGACCUGUGGCGGACAGACCCUGUGCUGCGCAGAAUCGCAAACCCAGUCUUGUGUCUUCAGCUACUCUCCGUCUCAUCUCGAGGCUCUGCACCGGAACUGCUCGGGCCGCACAUCUUGUGACGUCAGGACGGACCGCACGCAGGAAGAGUCGGUUGCUUGCCCUGUGUAUCGUCCAGAAACCACAGUCAGCCAUACUGUACUGGACUACUUCUGUAUCAACGAUUCGAUCAUGAUCGACAUGUGCAUGCCGGGGGAGACAACCAUCACCGGAAGGAAACUGUUUGCGCACCUAGAUUGGCGCAUCCAGCGGAGAGAUCCGCUAGGCGGCGCUGUGUGUCGGUGCACGGCAGAGAGCACGCACUGGCCCACCACCAACACCAUCGCUGUCUUCGUCGUCGACGUGAGGCUCAACGUUGCUCGUCAAGCUCAGUGCUCGGAGACGGUCAUAAUGUUGCGGUCGGGACGCGAGUCACGCCGGUUGGACUGUGUGACCAGUCGUGACCCUCGCCUCGCCUUUCCGUUCGUGGCUCUCCUCAAUCACAGCAACGUGGCCACCAUGGAAACCUUCCUGGCGGACCAGCAGCCCGAGUUUCUCUGGAUCGGCUUCGAGUCCAACGAGCAGGAGGACAUCCGGCUGACCUGCGGCCUACAGGGCUAUGUCCCCUGAGCCGCGACACAGAGGAGACAGAGAGCAACGCCACAGCCAGCGUGUCUGAAGAAAGCGAGCAACAUGUUGGAGCCAUCGCUGGUGGGGUUGCCGGCGGCGUGAUCUUGUGCUUUGUUGUCGCUGUUGCCGUGACACCGAUUGUUGUCAGACGCUGUAAGCGAGGUAGACACGGACAGUACAGCGAGCCUGGCGAUUCCGCUGAUGUUUUUGGCGAUGUCUACUACACCACCCCUGACGUCAUUAACGGACAACGGCCUUCGCCUUCCAUGCUGAACAGAGACGGCAAACUUCCCCCAAAGACGACCACGGUCUCCGAUUACUACAACAGCGGGACAGGGGGAGGGGACUUCGCUCUCUACAUCAGUCCAGCAGACGUGAGAGAAAAGAAACGGG